Diceros bicornis minor is the source of this 1111-nucleotide long non-coding RNA. RefSeq lists it as uncharacterized. The transcript has 2 exons. Lineage: Eukaryota; Metazoa; Chordata; Mammalia; Perissodactyla; Rhinocerotidae. The record is from RefSeq and is a predicted model, not a curated record.
GGACCAGCUCUGCCGACACGUUGAUUUUAGCCCCAAAAGACUGAUUUUAGACUUCUGACCUGCAGAACUUGUAAGAGGACACGUUUGUGUUUUUUAAGCCACUAAGUUUGUGGGAAUUUGUUACAGCAGCCACAGGAAACUCACACACACCCCUAGGCGAGUUCAAGAAUGUGAGAGUGGAGGGUGAGGCCGGAGACCUCAGACGGCAGCAAACUCAACAAAGGCCUGGACCCUGCUCCAGGUGUGGCAGGGAAGGCAGGGGACAUGCUGCAGGGAGCUAGGCCAGUGAGGCCCACAGUAGCCUCAGCGUGUCCCCACCCCGGCCCUGUAGAGAGGGGUGUAGAGAGCACCCUGUGUUCUUGCUUCCCCAUGUGGAUGUGGGUGUUAGCUCAGUGUGUGCGAGUGUAUGUCUGUGUGUCAUGUCUGUGUGUGUGCAUGUGAGUGUAUGUGUAAGUUUGCAUUUGUAUGUGUCUAUACGUGUGUAAGUUUGUCUCUGAGUGUGUCUAUUUCUGUGUGUGUCUCUAUGUGUCUCUGUGUCUGUGUGUGUGAGUGUGUGUGUGUGUGUAUGGGUAUAUGUGUGGGUGUGUGUAGGGUUCCUGAGGAAGUCUCUGAGGGGCCACUGCCAGAGGACGAGGAGGGGCCCUGACCGAGGUCUGGGAGGGAGGACACACGUCUCAGGGGCCAGUGAGGACGCCUGCUGGUGGAGAGCAGAGCCCUUCCCGACGAGAUGGCGGCCUGGCGAGAAAGAGGAACAGAGGAGACCCUGAACUGAGUGUGGUCCUGCACCUGUGACGAGGACUGCAGGCUAGGGACUGGCACUGCACAGAGUCCUAAAAGAACGCGAUGGUUUGUUCCCUGAUGGCUGCAGAUUAAGAAAUGCAGACCCACUAGGGUGUCCUAUGAAGAGCCAUGAAGCUUGACUACGCUGGCACAGAUCGUCAGUUACCUCCCUGCUCCUCACCUCCAAUCGUCUAUCUCCACACUUCAGACUGCCCUGUCCCUUUAUUCCUUAAAUAUCCCUAAUCCCCAUUUUCAGGGAGGUGGAUUUGACAUUUGUUCUUCUGUCUCCUCACUUGGCUGCCUUGUGAAUAAACCCUUUCUCUGCUGCAAA